Molecule: transfer RNA, 131 nt
Filed under: Geomicrobium sediminis
Lineage: Bacteria; Bacillati; Bacillota; Bacilli; Caryophanales
Description: tRNA-OTHER
Source: RNAcentral
GGCGUGGUCGUAUGUAAAGUUUUACGUCUAAAUCACCGUAAAAUCAGCGUUUUGUUUUUCGAGAGUAAUUUCUACCGACUCAAAAUCGCGUUUCUUCGGAAGUGUGGGUUCGACUCCCACCAUCGCCACCA